UUGAUGCUGGACGACGCCAUCCUC
RNAcentral lists this non-coding RNA (24 nucleotides) under Rattus norvegicus (Norway rat). The record is from RNAcentral. Lineage: Eukaryota; Metazoa; Chordata; Mammalia; Rodentia; Muridae.